This 495-nucleotide ribosomal RNA is filed under the name uncultured bacterium. RNAcentral describes it as "partial 16S ribosomal RNA". It matches the Rfam family "Bacterial small subunit ribosomal RNA", at positions 28 to 507 of the family's 1533-position model. The record is from RNAcentral.
GACGAACGCUGGCGGCGUGCCUAAUACAUGCAAGUAGAACGCUGAAGGAGGAGCUUGCUUCUCUGGAUGAGUUGCGAACGGGUGAGUAACGCGUAGGUAACCUGCCUGGUAGCGGGGGAUAACUAUUGGAAACGAUAGCUAAUACCGCAUAAUAGUAGAUGUCGCAUGACAUUUGCUUAAAAGGUGCAAUUGCAUCACUACCAGAUGGACCUGCGUUGUAUUAGCUAGUUGGUGAGGUAACGGCUCACCAAGGCAACGAUACAUAGCCGACCUGAGAGGGUGAUCGGCCACACUGGGACUGAGACACGGCCCAGACUCCUACGGGAGGCAGCAGUAGGGAAUCUUCGGCAAUGGACGGAAGGCUGACCGAGCAACGCCGCGUGAGUGAAGAAGGUUUUCGGAUCGUAAAGCUCUGUUGUAAGAGAAGAACGAGUGUGAGAGUGGAAAGUUCACACUGUGACGGUAUCUUACCAGAAAGGGACGGCUAACUACGUG